RNAcentral lists this non-coding RNA (23 nucleotides) under Cricetulus griseus (Chinese hamster). The record is from RNAcentral. Lineage: Eukaryota; Metazoa; Chordata; Mammalia; Rodentia; Cricetidae.
GAAUAAGUAUACUCUGAAACUUU